Molecule: ribosomal RNA, 2935 nt
Filed under: Serratia marcescens
Lineage: Bacteria; Pseudomonadati; Pseudomonadota; Gammaproteobacteria; Enterobacterales; Yersiniaceae
Description: bacterial LSU rRNA
Rfam family: Bacterial large subunit ribosomal RNA
Source: RNAcentral
GGGUUGUGAGGUUAAGUGACUAAGCGUACACGGUGGAUGCCUAGGCAGUCAGAGGCGAUGAAGGGCGUGCUAAUCUGCGAAAAGCGUCGGUAAGGUGAUAUGAACCGUUAUAACCGGCGAUACCCGAAUGGGGAAACCCAGUGUGUUUCGACACACUAUCAUGUCAUGAAUACAUAGUGGCAUGAGGCGAACCGGGGGAACUGAAACAUCUAAGUACCCCGAGGAAAAGAAAUCAACCGAGAUUCCCCCAGUAGCGGCGAGCGAACGGGGAGGAGCCCAGAACCUGAAUCGGCUUGUGUGUUAGUGGAAGCGUCUGGAAAGUCGCGCAGUAAAGGGUGAUAGCCCCGUACACUAAAAUGCACAGGUCGUGAGUUCGAUGAGUAGGGCGGGACACGUGACAUCCUGUCUGAAUAUGGGGGGACCAUCCUCCAAGGCUAAAUACUCCUGACUGACCGAUAGUGAACCAGUACCGUGAGGGAAAGGCGAAAAGAACCCCGGCGAGGGGAGUGAAAUAGAACCUGAAACCGUGUACGUACAAGCAGUGGGAGCACCUUCGUGGUGUGACUGCGUACCUUUUGUAUAAUGGGUCAGCGACUUAUAUUUUGUAGCAAGGUUAACCGUAUAGGGGAGCCGUAGGGAAACCGAGUCUUAACUGGGCGAAUAGUUGCAAGGUAUAGACCCGAAACCCGGUGAUCUAGCCAUGGGCAGGUUGAAGGUUGGGUAACACUAACUGGAGGACCGAACCGACUAAUGUUGAAAAAUUAGCGGAUGACUUGUGGCUGGGGGUGAAAGGCCAAUCAAACCGGGAGAUAGCUGGUUCUCCCCGAAAGCUAUUUAGGUAGCGCCUCGUGAACUCAUCUUCGGGGGUAGAGCACUGUUUCGGCUAGGGGGCCAUCCCGGCUUACCAAACCGAUGCAAACUCCGAAUACCGAAGAAUGUUAUCACGGGAGACACACGGCGGGUGCUAACGUCCGUCGUGAAGAGGGAAACAACCCAGACCGCCAGCUAAGGUCCCAAAGUCAUGGUUAAGUGGGAAACGAUGUGGGAAGGCAUAGACAGCCAGGAUGUUGGCUUAGAAGCAGCCAUCAUUUAAAGAAAGCGUAAUAGCUCACUGGUCGAGUCGGCCUGCGCGGAAGAUGUAACGGGGCUAAACCAUGCACCGAAGCUGCGGCAGCGACGCUUAGGCGUUGUUGGGUAGGGGAGCGUUCUGUAAGCCGUUGAAGGUGGCCUGUGAGGGUUGCUGGAGGUAUCAGAAGUGCGAAUGCUGACAUAAGUAACGAUAAAGCGGGUGAAAAGCCCGCUCGCCGGAAGACCAAGGGUUCCUGUCCAACGUUAAUCGGGGCAGGGUGAGUCGACCCCUAAGGCGAGGCUGAAAAGCGUAGUCGAUGGGAAACAGGUUAAUAUUCCUGUACUUGGUGUUACUGCGAAGGGGGGACGGAGAAGGCUAGGCUAGCCGGGCGACGGUUGUCCCGGUUUAAGCGUGUAGGGGGUGUGACCUGGUAAAUCCGGUUACAUACUAACCCUGAGGCGUGAUGACGAUGCACUACGGUGCAGAAGUAGUUGAUGCCCUGCUUCCAGGAAAAGCCUCUAAGCUCUAGGUAACAUUGAAUCGUACCCCAAACCGACACAGGUGGUCAGGUAGAGAAUACCAAGGCGCUUGAGAGAACUCGGGUGAAGGAACUAGGCAAAAUGGUGCCGUAACUUCGGGAGAAGGCACGCUGGCAUGUAGGUGAAGUCCUUCGCGGAUGGAGCUGAAGCCAGUCGAAGAUACCAGCUGGCUGCAACUGUUUAAUAAAAACACAGCACUGUGCAAACACGAAAGUGGACGUAUACGGUGUGACGCCUGCCCGGUGCUGGAAGGUUAAUUGAUGGGGUCAGCCGCAAGGCGAAGCUCUUGAUCGAAGCCCCAGUAAACGGCGGCCGUAACUAUAACGGUCCUAAGGUAGCGAAAUUCCUUGUCGGGUAAGUUCCGACCUGCACGAAUGGCGUAAUGAUGGCCAGGCUGUCUCCACCCGAGACUCAGUGAAAUUGAACUCGCUGUGAAGAUGCAGUGUACCCGCGGCAAGACGGAAAGACCCCGUGAACCUUUACUAUAGCUUGACACUGAACAUUGAGCCUUGAUGUGUAGGAUAGGUGGGAGGCUUUGAAGCGUGGACGCCAGUCUGCGUGGAGCCAUCCUUGAAAUACCACCCUUUAAUGUUUGAUGUUCUAACUCGGCCCCAUAAUCUGGGGUGAGGACAGUGUCUGGUGGGUAGUUUGACUGGGGCGGUCUCCUCCCAAAGAGUAACGGAGGAGCACGAAGGUUAGCUAAUCACGGUCGGACAUCGUGAGGUUAGUGCAAAGGCAUAAGCUAGCUUGACUGCGAGAGUGACGGCUCGAGCAGGUACGAAAGUAGGUCUUAGUGAUCCGGUGGUUCUGAAUGGAAGGGCCAUCGCUCAACGGAUAAAAGGUACUCCGGGGAUAACAGGCUGAUACCGCCCAAGAGUUCAUAUCGACGGCGGUGUUUGGCACCUCGAUGUCGGCUCAUCACAUCCUGGGGCUGAAGUAGGUCCCAAGGGUAUGGCUGUUCGCCAUUUAAAGUGGUACGCGAGCUGGGUUUAGAACGUCGUGAGACAGUUCGGUCCCUAUCUGCCGUGGGCGUUGGAAGAUUGAGAGGGGUUGCUCCUAGUACGAGAGGACCGGAGUGAACGCACCACUGGUGUUCGGGUUGUCAUGCCAAUGGCAUUGCCCGGUAGCUAAGUGCGGAAAAGAUAAGCGCUGAAAGCAUCUAAGCGCGAAACUUGCCUCAAGAUGAGUCUUCCCUGGGCCUUUAAGGCCCCUGAAGGAACGUUUAAGACUAAGACGUUGAUAGGCUGGGUGUGUAAGUGCAGCGAUGCAUUGAGCUAACCAGUACUAAUGAUCCGUGAGGCUUAACCUUACAACACCGAAGGUGUUU